GUCCCGUUCGUCUAGCUGGCCCAGGACCUCAGGAUUUCAUCCUGAUAACAGGAGUUCAAAUCUCUUACGGGACGCCA
RNAcentral lists this transfer RNA (77 nucleotides) under Bathymodiolus thermophilus thioautotrophic gill symbiont. RNAcentral's name for it is "tRNA-Glu". It matches the Rfam family "tRNA". From Rfam's summary of the family: Transfer RNA (tRNA) molecules are approximately 80 nucleotides in length. RNAcentral also lists the same sequence under 4 other names. The record is from RNAcentral. Lineage: Bacteria; Pseudomonadati; Pseudomonadota; Gammaproteobacteria.